This is a non-coding RNA of Lactuca sativa (garden lettuce), 1202 nucleotides long. The record is from RefSeq and is a predicted model, not a curated record. NCBI's taxonomy places the organism in Eukaryota, Viridiplantae, Streptophyta, Magnoliopsida, Asterales, Asteraceae.
AUAUAUAUAUAUUGGUCUCCUUAAGUUGAGUCAGGCUGUCAUCCCUUUGCUCCUCCAGCUUAUUUGUAACGUUCUAUAGCACACAAACAAAAAGUUAGGUCUUCCAUUGAGGGUUGGCCUCUAACUGGAAUUGACCAACUACACUCUGGUAUAGGUCUUCAAGUCCAUAAACCCAAUUUACAAAACCCAAAUCAGUUUUAUUUGGCAUCACAACAACAGCAGCAACACCAACAUCAACAGCAACAGCAAGUAUUAGCACAUGCUCAGGCACAAGGAAAACUGGGUGCAUCACCAAAUUAUGGAUUUUCUAGAUUAUCAAGAGGCAAUAUAUUCAUGAAAGAUGGUCAACCGUUGAGAAACGAAGGAUCUAAUGGCAUCUUCAAGAAUGCUAAGAACAUUGAGCGCCUAAAGAAGUACUUUGAUAUAUGUGGUGGUCCAGCAACCUUUAUUCAGGUUUAAAAAAGAUUAAGAAAAGAGGAAAUCAUGGAUCCUAAAAAUGACCCACUCAGUAAAAACAAACCCACUCAGUAGGAAAAUGUCCCAGCUUUGGUGCCCCUCUUGAUCUUGUCUAUUUGUUCUAUCAAUCAAUCUCAGGCUAUCAAUCUUUUGGUUACUUCCCAGGAUUAAAUUGUCUUCAACGAGACUUUCCUUGUAACAGGAACACAACAACACCUUGCUCACACUAUGCUGGAAAUGAACUACACUGAUAAGCAACUGACAGCAGCUAUUGUGUCUAAAAGGUUAAGACCUGGUCUUGCAGGGACUGAAUCAGGUGCACCACCAAGAUUACUAUCUCUGGUACAAAGAUGUUGGGAUGCUGACAUGCACAAUAGGCCUUCAUUUGAUGAUAUCAUCUCCAAACUUCAUCUCAGCAUGGUUUUGCCCUGUUGCCUGUAACAAGCCUCUAAAAGACUCUCCUGUUCUUAUGUAUUUGCCUGGGUUGGAAGGAAUUAGAACUGACCUUGUUGUACAUGAGAAAGCUCUUGGAAAGUGAGUUGAAUUUGGCUAAGUCAUUAUUGAGUGAGAUGGACCAAUGUACAACUGCUUAUUCAUAUAAUCAGCUGUUUGGAGCAUUAGUCUUAAAAAAUUAUGAAAGGCAAGAUGCAACUUUACUUAGUUGGAAUUUGAUGUACAUAGUAGAUUAGAUGCAAAUUUAUAUAUUGUAAGAGAUAGAUUGUAUGACAUUAUAUUUAUGCAAUCGA